AUGUGGGAUCCUUGCAAAGGAUCAGGGUUCCAGAAGGGGGGAGGGGAGGAAAGAGGAAAGACAGCCUCCAGAAUCUGUGCCCAGCUGUGCCUGACACCAAGCUUACUCAGUAUCUGCUCUCUUGCAGCCAGCCCCACUGCCCCAUCCGUCUUCCCAUUGGCCCCCAGCGGUGGGGCCAGGUCCGCCUCCACUGUGUCCCUGGGCUGCCUGGUCAGCGGCUACUUCCCUGAACCAGUGACCGUGUCAUGGAACUCUGGAGCCUUGUCCAGCGGUGUGCACACCUUCCCAUCCGUCCUGAAGGCAGGCCUCUACUCCCUGAGCAGCUUGGUGACUGUGCCUUCCAGCACCUGGCCCAGACAGACCAUCACCUGCAAUGUAGCCCACCCACCCACCAACACCAAGGUGGACAAGACCAUUGUGCCCAGAUGUGAGAAACCACCAUGUCCUGUGUGCCCAGCUCCUUCACUCCCAGGGGGACCGUCUGUAUUCAUCUUCCCCCCAAAGCCCAAGGAUACACUCACCAUCGCCCUGACCCCCAAGAUCACCUGUGUGGUGGUAGAUGUGAGCCAGGAUGACCCUGAGGUCCAGUUCAACUGGUACAUGGACGAUGUGGAGUUGCACACAGCCCACAAGGAGUCAAGGGAAGUGCAGUACAACAGCACAAUCCGUGUGGUCAGUGUCCUCCCCAUCGUGCACAAGGACUGGCUGUCAGGAAAAAAGUUCAAGUGCAAGGUCAACAACAAAGCCCUCCCAGCCCCCAUUGAGAAAACCAUCUCCAAAGUCGAAGGGCAACCCCGAGAGCCACAAGUGUACACCUUGCCUCCACCUCAGGAAGAACUGAAAAACAGCAAAGUCAGUUUGACUUGCAUGGUCAUUGGCUUCUACCCACCAGACAUCUCUGUGGAGUGGGAGAGUAAAGGGAAGCUAGAGGAGAACUACAAGAACACCCAACCUGUCCUGGACUCUGACGGGACCUACUUCCUCUACAGCAAGCUCACAGUGGACAAGGACAGAUGGCAGACUGGAAACAGUUUCACCUGCUCUGUGAUGCACGAAACUUUACACAACCACAUCACUCAGAAGACCUUCUCUCCAUCUCCGGAGAUAGACCUGUACGAGACCUGUGCCGAGGCCCAGGACGGGGAGCUGGACGGACUAUGGACGACCAUCACCAUCUUCAUCACCCUCUUCCUGCUCAGUGUGUGCUACAGUGCCACUGUCACACUCUUCAAGGUGAAGUGGAUCUUCUCCUCGAUGAUGGAGCUAAAGCAGACAAUGGUCCCCGACUACAGGAACGUGAUUGGGCAGGGGGCCUAG
This is a non-coding RNA of Castor canadensis (American beaver), 1317 nucleotides long. NCBI's taxonomy places the organism in Eukaryota, Metazoa, Chordata, Mammalia, Rodentia, Castoridae. The record is from the annotation of a RefSeq genome assembly.